Molecule: ribosomal RNA, 304 nt
Filed under: uncultured bacterium
Lineage: Bacteria
Description: partial 16S ribosomal RNA
Rfam family: Bacterial small subunit ribosomal RNA
Source: RNAcentral
CAGCAGUAGCCGCGGUAAUACGUAGGUGGCAAGCGUUGUCCGGAAUUAUUGGGCGUAAAGGGCUCGCAGGCGGUUUCUUAAGUCUGAUGUGAAAGCCCCCGGCUCAACCGGGGAGGGUCAUCGGAAACUGGGAAACUUGAGUGCAGAGGAGGAGAGUGGAAUUCCACGUGUAGCGGUGAAAUGCGUAGAGAUGUGGAGGAACACCAGUGGCGAAGGCGACUCUCUGGUCUGUAACUGACGCUGAGGAGCGAAAGCGUGGGGAGCGAACAGGAUUAGAUACCCCAGUAGUCCCUGUCUCUUAUAC